Molecule: ribosomal RNA, 369 nt
Filed under: uncultured eukaryote
Lineage: Eukaryota
Description: SSU rRNA
Rfam family: Eukaryotic small subunit ribosomal RNA
Source: RNAcentral
AGCUCCAAUAGCGUAUAUUAAAGUUGUUGCAGUUAAAAAGCUCGUAGUUGAAUUUCUGGUCAAUCGUAGUCUUGGCUUCGGUCGGGCUAUGGUUGGUCAUCCGUUUGCAAGCUGCACUCGGCCUUCACUGGUUCGGUGUAGUGAGCUGACAUUUUACUUUGAAAAAAUUAGAGUGUUUCAGGCAGGCUUUUGCCCGAAUACAUUAGCAUGGAAUAAUGGAAUUGGACUCUGGUCCAUUUGGUUGGUUAUUGGAUCUGAGUAAUGGUUAAUAGGGACAGUUGGGGGCAUUAGUAUUUAAUUGUCAGAGGUGAAAUUCUUGGAUUUAUUAAAGACUAACUUAUGCGAAAGCAUUUGCCAAGGAUGUUUUCA